UACAGAGGGGGCAAGCGUUGCUCGGAAUUACUGGGCGUAAAGGGCGCGUAGGCGGCCUUCUAAGUCGAACGUGAAAUCCCCGGGCUCAACCCGGGAACUGCGUCCGAUACUGGGAGGCUUGAAUCCGGGAGAGGGAUGUGGAAUUCCAGGUGUAGCGGUGAAAUGCGUAGAUAUCGGAAGGAACAUCAGUGGCGAAAGCGACUUCCUGGACCAAUACUGACGCUCAUGUGCGAAAGCGUGGGGAGCAAACAGG
This 253-nucleotide ribosomal RNA is filed under the name uncultured bacterium. RNAcentral describes it as "partial 16S ribosomal RNA". It matches the Rfam family "Bacterial small subunit ribosomal RNA", at positions 524 to 776 of the family's 1533-position model. The record is from RNAcentral.